Molecule: ribosomal RNA, 492 nt
Filed under: uncultured bacterium
Lineage: Bacteria
Description: partial 16S ribosomal RNA
Rfam family: Bacterial small subunit ribosomal RNA
Source: RNAcentral
AGUGAACACUGGCGGUAGGCCUAACACAUGCAAGUCGAACGGCAGCACAGUAAGAGCUUGCUCUUACGGGUGGCGAGUGGCGGACGGGUGAGGAAUACAUCGGAAUCUACUUUUUCGUGGGGGAUAACGUAGGGAAACUUACGCUAAUACCGCAUACGACCUACGGGUGAAAGCAGGGGAUCUUCGGACCUUGCGCGAUUGAAUGAGCCGAUGUCGGAUUAGCUAGUUGGCGGGGUAAAGGCCCACCAAGGCGACGAUCCGUAGCUGGCCUGAGAGGAUGAUCAGCCACACUGGAACUGAGACACGGUCCAGACUCCUACGGGAGGCAGCAGUGGGGAAUAUUGGACAAUGGGCGCAAGCCUGAUCCAGCCAUACCGCGUGGGUGAAGAAGGCCUUCGGGUUGUAAAGCCCUUUUGUUGGGAAAGAAAAGCAGCAGGUUAAUACCCCGCUGUUCUGACGGUACCCAAAGAAUAAGCACCGGCUAACUUCGUG